CUGCAGGGACGAGCGUGAGUUUUGUACCGCGGUUACCACCUACUUUCCAGCUCCAGGUCUUAGUCUAAGAGGGAGUGUCUGCUCAUGAAGAGGCAAAGCCCCAGGAGCUGCGAAAAGCCUUGCAUGGCCCAUCUGAGAGAUGUGCUGAGUCGGCUUGUUAAAAAUGACAGGCAAAGCCUGUGGGGUGGGGCAGCUUUCUUGGCCUGAGCGCAUCUUGGUUGAGCCAGAGGUGACUUGGGGUGGGGAGUGGGGCGCCGGUUGGUGGGUUCUCCCUUUAAUUUCUCAAAGGCUGUGGUGUUUAUGAGUCUGUUGGAAUCCUGGUUGGGUUGGAAUGAAGGAAGGUUCUAGAACCAUUGUGGGAAGCUCGCUAGUAAAGAUGGUUUGGAGAUCGGAAGUUGACUGACUUUCCCCCAUUGAAAAAUGUCACCUGAGAUUUUAGUGCCUGUAUCACGAUUAUAGGCUCAACUUUCUUUUCCUUGUUUUCUUUGAUUUAGUUCUCCUUAUGUGCAAAAUUACUGUGUGAUGUUGGCUAGUCGUAUUAUCACAGCCACUCCGUGUUUUCAGGAUUUGUAGCUGGAAGUCCUAUAGCACUUAAGUCUUCACUUACAGAUCAGCGCUUGCUUUUAUUCUGUUUUGUGUGAUUUCUGCUGUUUUCCUGUGAGUUGGUGUUUUCUUCCCAAGUAGGCUCAGGACUCCUCUAGGGCAGGACAUUAUAUGCAUGUACAUAGUGUCCUCCAGUGUAGGGGAGGAGAAGGAGGAGAGGUGAGGUGGGAAAAGGGUGAGGGAAGGCUUGGAUAUUUGAAGUUAUUUACAAAUGAGCUUAGACGUAAAUCCAGUUAACAGAUGACACCACAAAUUAAUGAUUAAAGAAAUCCUGAAAUUAUUUUGUAAAUUACACACUUAUAUUGCUGCAUUUUUUUUCUGUUGAAAGCAUUACUUUUAACAGAAAUGGAAACAUUGGAAAUAAACCAUGUUUUUCUCACCUUUUAUGUCUUCAUCUCUUAAUGUACCAGUCCCUAGAGAAGCUGAAGCCCAAUCCUGUGUUCCUCCACCCCAGCCACCCAGCCCCAUGGUGAGGACACAGGGAGCUUAGGAUAGUACUGCUGCGUGCAGCAUACACCUUUGUCUCAUUGACGUGCAGAGACUGACCAGAUAGAGAAGGUUUUUUGAUGGAAAACUCACUGUGGUGUCUGCCUGGUUGAUCUUGAAUGAUGGCAAGUGGGCACUUUUCAGGUAACUAUUGAUGAUUAACUGACAAAGAUCUGUGAAGGCUACACUUUGUCACUUCAGAGUGCCAGAGAUACCCAUCAGUAAUAUUUUUACAUAUAUGCUUAGUACCAUGCAGGUAAAUCCCAGGUGAUUGUCAUCGAGCUGAACUUUUACUCAGAUGUUUAAAGUGAUGCACUUGUAAGGUUAUAAGGUGAAAAUGCUAAUGUUUAAAGCUAUUUGGCAUUUUAAUUUGACAGUUGUUUUAUAAAUGAACCAAAAAGAAAGAAGUUGCUGUUUUGCAAUAAAUCAGUGUGACACAAAUCAUAUUUCUUAAUAUUUCAAGUGACUGCUUGCCAACUGCCUGAUGGAAUGGCACCGUGAAUUC
RNAcentral lists this long non-coding RNA (1594 nucleotides) under Homo sapiens (human). RNAcentral describes it as "non-protein coding lnc-ZMYM2-10:1". Lineage: Eukaryota; Metazoa; Chordata; Mammalia; Primates; Hominidae. The record is from RNAcentral.